GACGAACGCUGGCGGCGUGCCUAAUACAUGCAAGUCGAACGAACGGAUUGAGGAGCUUGCUCUUCAUGAAGUUAGUGGCGGACGGGUGAGUAACGCGUGGACAACCUGCCUCUCACUACGGGAUAACCCGUUGAAAGGCGGACUAAUACCGUAUGAUAUCGUCUGAUGGCAUCAGAUGACGAUUAAAGGUUUGGCGGUGAUGGAUGGGGAUGCGUCUGAUUAGGUAGUUGGUAAGGUAACGGCUUACCAAGCCUUCGAUCAGUAGGGGUUCUGAGAGGAAGGUCCCCCACAUUGGAACUGGGACACGGUCCAA
Molecule: ribosomal RNA, 313 nt
Filed under: uncultured bacterium
Lineage: Bacteria
Description: bacterial SSU rRNA
Rfam family: Bacterial small subunit ribosomal RNA
Source: RNAcentral